Molecule: ribosomal RNA, 250 nt
Filed under: uncultured bacterium
Lineage: Bacteria
Description: partial 16S ribosomal RNA
Rfam family: Bacterial small subunit ribosomal RNA
Source: RNAcentral
UACGGAGGAUCCAAGCGUUAUCCGGAUUUAUUGGGUUUAAAGGGAGCGUAGGCGGCUUAUUAAGUCAGGGGUGAAAGACGGUGGCUCAACCAUCGCAGUGCCUUUGAUACUGAUGAGCUUGAAUAUAGUUGAGGUAGGCGGAAUGUGACAAGUAGCGGUGAAAUGCAUAGAUAUGUCACAGAACACCAAUUGCGAAGGCAGCUUACUAAGCUAUUAUUGACGCUGAGGCUCGAAAGCGUGGGGAUCAAAC